This 101-nucleotide small nuclear RNA is filed under the name Meriones unguiculatus (Mongolian gerbil). Lineage: Eukaryota; Metazoa; Chordata; Mammalia; Rodentia; Muridae. The record is from RNAcentral.
CUGCUGAAGCAGCAUGUAUACUAAAAUUGGAGCGACACAGUAGAUUAGCAUGGCCUCUGAACAAGGGUGACAUACAAGUUUAUGAAGCAUUCCGUACUUUU